RNAcentral lists this ribosomal RNA (634 nucleotides) under uncultured bacterium. RNAcentral's name for it is "bacterial SSU rRNA". It matches the Rfam family "Bacterial small subunit ribosomal RNA", at positions 8 to 642 of the family's 1533-position model. The record is from RNAcentral.
AGAGUUUGAUUCUGGCUCAAGAUGAACGCUGGCGGCGUGCCUAACACAUGCAAGUCGAGCGAAGCGCUUGAAUCUGAUUCUUCGGAUGAGGAUUCUUGUGACUGAGCGGCGGACGGGUGAGUAACGCGUGGGCAACCUGCCUUACACAGGGGGAUAACAGUUAGAAAUGACUGCUAAUACCGCAUAAGACCGCAGUACCGCAUGGUACAGCGGUAAAAACUCCGGUGGUGUAAGAUGGGCCCGCGUCUGAUUAGGUAGUUGGCGGGGUAACGGCCCACCAAGCCGACGAUCAGUAGCCGACCUGAGAGGGUGACCGGCCACAUUGGGACUGAGACACGGCCCAGACUCCUACGGGAGGCAGCAGUGGGGAAUAUUGCACAAUGGGGGAAACCCUGAUGCAGCGACGCCGCGUGAGCGAUGAAGUAUUUCGGUAUGUAAAGCUCUAUCAGCAGGGAAGAAAAUGACGGUACCUGACUAAGAAGCCCCGGCUAACUACGUGCCAGCAGCCGCGGUAAUACGUAGGGGGCAAGCGUUAUCCGGAUUUACUGGGUGUAAAGGGAGCGUAGACGGCUGUGCAAGCCAGAUGUGAAAGCCCGGGGCUCAACCCCGGGACUGCAUUUGAAACUGUGUGGCU